UGACGUUUAUGGAGGCCUGGAGCUGAGCACCUCAAACGCUAUCCGGUCCUGCAGAGCUCAGAGCUCGGGAACAGCUUCGGAGAGGCCCAUUUACAAAUGAAGAAUGGUGGUAAGCCUGAGUGUUGGAGGCCCUGUCCAACAUCUGCCCCAAAUCCGUGGCGUGUGGUGUCUCCAGAGGCUGCGGCAGGAAAUGGAAAGAGCUGCUGUGG
RNAcentral lists this long non-coding RNA (209 nucleotides) under Homo sapiens (human). RNAcentral's name for it is "HSALNT0354948". The record is from RNAcentral. Lineage: Eukaryota; Metazoa; Chordata; Mammalia; Primates; Hominidae.